This 36627-nucleotide long non-coding RNA is filed under the name Solanum tuberosum (potato). RNAcentral describes it as "long non-coding RNA (STUB_LNC006423)". The record is from RNAcentral. Lineage: Eukaryota; Viridiplantae; Streptophyta; Magnoliopsida; Solanales; Solanaceae.
GAUGGUGGCUGCUUAUAGCACAUUUUAUUUCUUACUUGCAUAUGAGGGAGAAUAAUAUCUAGAAGUGUGGUGUGUGAACUAAAAAUGCUUAAAUUUCUCUUUAAUAAGGUGUGUCAGUUCCAGUUUUUUGUUUAUACUUACAUCUGCAUUGAAUGCUAAAUCCUAGCAAUAUUGACCUGCUACACCACUUAAAUGAUAGAUUAACUAUACACUCUCUACUCUUUCCUCUAUGCUUUUUAAGCAUAGACCAAAACACUAACCUUCUUUUGAACUCUCUUGGUUUUGUUGGAUCUUACCUAUUGCAAAAACAAAAUUCUGCAGCUGGACAGAAAGCCAUCAAAGUGUGUGGUGUUUGAGGACGACCCUAGGGGCAUAACUGCUGCUCACAACUGUACAAUGAUGGCUGUGGCACUUAUUGGUGCUCACCCAGCGUAUGUAUUACUGUUUUCUGGUUUUUCCCCGUAUUGUUGAAGCUCUUGAUUUGAACUGUCUUAUUGUAUCAUGUUUGGACACAAAAUGUUCUUUGCUGCCAAAAAGGUGUCCCAGACCCUUCCUCCCUCUAGGGGGUGGGUUUAGGACUAGGUGCUUUCUUCAAUAUCUGUUUGAAGUGUUGAUAUAUUGACAGAAGUUUUGGAUUUUCUUGCUUUUUUUAUUUUCUUCAAAUGCAGAAAGCAUGUCACUGCUUCUGCUUGCAAAUUUUUAUUUAGGAGUUUGAAACUUGCAGGUACGAUUUAGGGCAAGCUGACCUUGCUGUAGGUACCUUCAGUGAGCUUUCUGUGAUAAAUCUCAGGAGAUUAUUUGCACAUAAAGGCUCCAACUUUAUGGACCUAGAGAAACAAAUAGCAGAAAAAGCACCGCGCAGAAGGAAGCUCACAAUUGACACCAUUUUCUGAACCAGUUUGGUACAACAGUCUAGCACCUCAUUUUCCUACUUGUAAAUGCUCUCUUAGUGUUAGAAUCUGUAGGUCUUGCCGUCCCUUGCCUUCAUUCAUUCUUUAGAUAAAUAGAGCUGGUAGAAGAUGAUUUCCCUUGAGGUAAUCUGAAACUCAGAAAUCCGUUUCUCGUCUUCUUUUCUCUCUUUUUUCUUUUGGGGUUUCUGUUUGUUCGUGUGAUCAAGCCGUUAAUUCAAACUGAUAUCUACCAGCAGUGGUGGUGGAAUUACGAUCCAUGUCACAACUGCAAUAUUGUAAUUUCUGCCAAGUAUAUAUAUAUAUAUAUGAAAAGAUUGUAACUUCUGUUCUUUUACAUUCCAGUUUUGAAUGAAAUUAUUGAUUGUUCGACUUGUCGCUUCGGGGUUAUGUUCCUAUUUAUGAUUUUCUGAUGACAGAAUAAGUAGCGUCUCAGCAUUACCAGUUUGAUACUUGAAGACUUGCAGUUUUCAGUAUUAGUUUGAGUUUCUUUUUCAAGGCAAAGAGAUUCAAGUUUGAAGUUUUUCCUUGGAGGGACACUUUGUAUUUGUAUUAAAGAAACAUUUGUGAGGCAGUCUCAAGUUUUUAUUUUUUACACUUAUCCUUCUUAAUUUAUUACUCUUUUAGAAGUUCCCUGUGUCCAAAUUUUCUUUUGUGAAUAGUCUUAAAGUUGUUUUUUUCUUAUAUAUACGACUUUUUAUACUCUGUCUCAUUUUAUGUAAUGUAGUUUGACUUGACAAGAAAUUUAAGAAAGAAAGAAUUACUUUGAAAAUUUAUGGUCUAAAAUAAGUGAUAGAUGUUUGUGUGGUUAUAAAUUACUUUAUUAAGGGUAAAAUAAAUUUUUUAAAGUUAAAUUAUUACUAUUAAAUAUAGAAAUGUGUCAAAAAAAUUUGGACCGAUUAAAAAAGAAAAGUGAAUGUAUAAAUUGGAACAAAGUGAGUAUUAUAUUGCUACUUACAUAUAAGAGACAAUUGCAUUUAUGUUUGGAAAGUUGUUAUGUAUUGUUUCAUAAUUUAUCGUAUUGUGUUGUGUUGUAUUGUAUUGUAUUGCAUUAUUCUAAUGAAUAUAAUGUUUGGAUAAGAGAAAAGACAUAAAGUCAUCACUAAAGUUGGUCUCAAAUUUUCAAAAAGACAUCUUAACUUUGCGAGCGUCCUUUUACCCCUUAAAACUAUUGAAUAUCUUUGUAAAAUGAUCAUUUUGACCCAUUUUCUCACUAUGUUUGUGAACACUCAAACAACAACGCGUGAAGGUCUAUUUUAACUGCCAAAAAAUAAUUAAAAAAUGCCACAUUUCAACUGUUUUCUUUAUUAAUUAAUCAGAUAAUUAAAUACUUCAUCUUCCCCAAAUUUGCUGUUGGAGAUUUUUUUUUCAAACAAGUACUUUUAGGAAUCAACAAUGGUGACAUCAACCUCGAUACAAGGUUCAAUGGUGAUUAGGGUGAUUUGCUUGACAACAUUUGGGGAGCUAAAAAGAUCAAUCCGUGCUCGUGAACCUACAGCUCAAACUUGUCCCAUGUAUUUGUGCCUUCUCCACAACAAGACUUCCUAGGGAUAAUGUUAGCACCACAAACCAAAUCCAUACACAUUUUCUAAGAUUCUUAACGUUUUUGGUAGAAAGAGUGAUCAUAAUCAAUCUUCUCUCGAGCCCCUCUAGCCCUGGUUUUGUCAGCUUCAUUGUUGCAUACGCCAUACUUUGAUUUGAUGAAGAAGAUGAAGACCUAACCGCAAUUUCGAUUUUCUUUAAGGAGGGUGGGAGCAAAUUUCAAUGGAAAAGAAGAGAAAAUUUGAAAAAUAAAAAAGAAAAGAAAUGGAAGUGUUUUUGUUAAGAUUCGGAUCGGAUUGUCCUUGCUUUUAUUAAUAUUUAAAUUUAAUUAAAAUGGUCAAAAAGGUGAGCAUCACACGCCUCUUCAUAGAUGAGGAAAUGAGUCAAAAUGGUCUAUUUACAAGGGUAUUUAAUACUUUUAUGGGGUAAUAGGAUGCAUGCAAAGUUAAUGUGUCUUUUUGAAAAUUCGGGACAACUUCAAUGGUGACUUUAUGUCUUUCCUCUUUGGAUAAAUUAAAUUGUUCUCUGUUAUUGCAUAAUGUCAUAAAUCAACAAUUUGAAUGAUAAAUUCAUAAGAAAAGUAGAUCAGAGUACAUAGUAGAGCUACUAUGAAAAGAUAGACUAAAAGAUAAAUCUGACUAUUAAAUAAUAAGUAAAGACAAAAUGAGAAGAAAAUAUUAAGGUAAUGACAUGAUUACACCAAAUGAGACUUUUCAUCGUUACCUAAUAAUGAACUUAAACGACAUGCAAUAAACUUUAGGGAGAAGGUCAAAAAUACCCUUGAAUUUCCACUUAAUUGUUAGAUUUACCCUUCAUUGUACUAUGUGGCUAUUUAUACCCCUACCGUUUGCAAACUUGUCACCCGUACCUCUAUUUGGAUAGAAACCCCCCAAAUUAUCUCGAAUUUCUCAAAAACGAUCCCUUUUCAAGUUGAAACCCAUAUCCAACCCUCUAUCUUAAACUAAAUAAAUUUAAUCCAUUUUCCGUAACUAUUUCCAAAAGAUUAAGCUUUUAGUUGAUUAACAAGACUAGUUGAAAUUGUACCAUGGAAUGAGUUAUUGCUGAGAUCAAGUGUUUGAAGAAGAGGGCAUUCAGAUGCUUAGUUAAAUUUGAUACAUUUACAUAGGAGUGUACAUGACCGGGUUGGUUCAGGUUUUUCAAUUAUCAAACAAAACCAUUUGUGUCGAAUUUUUAAAUCUAUAAACCAAACCAAACCAAUAAAACUCGGGUUUUUUCAGGUUUUUUUCGGAUUUUUCCGGUAAAGUAUUCAUACAAAACAUAUAAUUUACUUGUACUUCAAAUAUUUCUUUAGUCCUACCAAAAUACAACUAUCUAAGGUGUUUCUUAAGAAAAUAACACAAAAUAUGAUAUGAGUAAUGACACUAAAAUAUCCAAACAAAAAAAUAAUAAUAAUGAAAUCGCAUAAAACAAUAUUGCAAAUUAACAAGUCAUAAUGAAAUGAUCAUAAUUUAAAAGUACUAAAUUACGCUAAAAUAAGUUUAAUAAGUAUUAGUUACAUAACUAAAUAUUAAAGAAAAUUGAAAUUAGAUUAUGUAUUUGAAUUGUCUAAACCAAUGUAAAAAUCAAAGAACAAAUAUUCAAUAUUAUUGUCAUUCUUAGUGUUGAAUUGAUUUUCUUUUUGCAUUAGUAUUAAUUUGAUUUUGAUUUAAGCUUUAUUAUAAUUAUCAACAUUUUGUGGACUAUAAUCUUUAUUGAACCAUUCAGAAUUCUAAGUUUCAAACUUGAAAUAAUAUAUUAAAAGAUAAAACUAUGAAAAAGUAUAAGAAAUAUUUAAAAAUUAUAUCAAAGUAAAUAUUUUUAUGUAUAAAAUAAAUUUUAAAAUUAUAUAUAUAAUGUCGGGUUAGUUUGGUCUCGGAUUGAUUUUUUUUAGUUAAAACCAAACCAACCCAAAUAUAAUCAGAUUUUUUUUUCAAUACCAAACCAAGGCAAACCAACCACUAGUCGAGUUUUUUUUUCAAUUUGACUCAAAUUGCGAUUUGGUUCGAUUUUGUACACCCCUACUUUUACAGCAUCUAGAAGACAUUUGGAUUUAGGAGGAAAGAAAAUGGCUCAAAGGUCCAUCAAUGUAGACCAAAUUCUUUGGAAGUUCUCAAUUGGCAAUUGAAGUCACUUGGAAGUUCUUUUGAAAUAGGUAUGAGAAAUGAGUUAAAUUUGUUUGGGUUAAGAUAGAAAAGGGUCGCGUACGAAUUUCAAUUUGAGAAUGGAUCAUUUUUAAGAAAUUCGGAUUAAUUUGGACUAAUUUGAAGGUUUCUGUUCAAGUAGGAGUACAAGUGACAAGUUUGUAGACGGCGAUUGGGGUAUGAAUAACCACUUAAAGGGUAAACCUAAAUAUUAAACAAUAGUUGAGGAGUAAAAAAAUAAAAUAAAAACUUAGUUAGAUUAUGAGUCAGCACAUUUCAUUUACGAGGAGUCUAAUCUCUAAACAAAGUUGAUAUUUUCAAAGGAACUCACCAAUCUUUAUAUAUUAUCGCAUUUUUAUUUUUGUCAUGAAUAUUUGUACCACAUUUUUUUUUAUGUGAUAGCAUAUGAAUCUUUGAUAAUUUGACCAACCAUUCUCUAGUGCUUUCUAAUGCCUAUUAAAUUGCAAGUGCUUAAGCGAUUAUGACUAUUUUCUUCAUAUGAGUUCAAGUAGACAUGCAAGGUGAAACUAACGAAGCUAGCAACGCAUCAUAAUAUAUUCAUGAAAAUCAAGUAAAGUCUAAUUAACAAUAUUGUAUUACCGGUAAAGCAAAGAAAAUAGUUUUUCACUUUUAUCAUAAGAUAAAAACAUUUAAUCUCAAUAGCUUAACAAACUUAAGGUAUCGGCAUGUAUUGUGAAACACAUCAUGUUGUCAUCUUGAAAAAUUAAAAGUGUUCUCUAAAUCAUGCAAGUUGAUAUGUCACAAUUUUUACAGUAAGAUUUCGAACACUCAAAAAAAUAUGUGGUCAAUUAUUACUAUUUUAAAACCAAACACCUUGCAAGCAUCAUAAAUAUAAAUCAAUCUAUUAGAAGUGUUUGCAUUAAUUAGUAAGACAUUAAGAAUGCGUUUCCUAAGAAAAUAUUUAUACUAUAUUUGUAUUUUAUUUUCAGUGACCAUAAAAAGUCUUAGAAUUUUUUUUUAAAAAGAGUAAAAACUAGCUCGAGGUUUAUUAGCAGUCACAUCACUAUAAUGAGAAAAAUCUUGGUUAGAUAGUAACUAAAUCUAAUCUUUUACUCACCUAAUUUUGUAUAAUAUUACAUAGUUUUAUCCGAAGUUUAUGUAAUAGAUAAUGAAAUAAAUAAAAUAGAAUGAAUAUCAUUAAGACAAAAAUAAGUAUACAAGUCCUGAAUAUAUAAUUUUGUUGAUUAAUAAGAACAUUAGCAUCGCCCUUAAUUGUAAAUUGAUAGUCAUUUGUGUUUAAUUUGAAGGGGUUUAUAGCCAUUUGAAUUAAGAAUUCAUGGAUAAGUCCAAACUUUAAUGUUGUUUCCAUCUUUAACUCUCCACCUUAUUCCUUCUUUCAUUAAAAAUAUCUUACCUAAAUAAUACCUUUUCAAAUUCAAGAUCUCAAAGAGGGAUAUCCCACAUUAAAAAAAAAGUACUAAAAAAAUAUCUAUUUUUUAGCAUUUCAUGAGGUAAUUUUCCUUCAAGCAAGUUUAGUUAUUAAGGCAUUGAUAAAAAGUUUUAGUUCUCUAGAUCAAGACCUUUCUUAGAUUUUAUCUCACAAAAAUUCUAUCAAUUUUUAUAAUGUAUUUUUCCCCUUCAUUUAUCUCAAUUAAAAUUUAAAAAAUUAAAAGUAGACUAAUCUCCUUACAUAAGCUAUCUGAAAAUUUAAAAACAUGACAAAACACACGAAAAAAUAGUAGAAAAUAUAGACUUAAACAUUUCUUCUUUACUCAUUAUAUUUAGGGGCUCGUUUAACCAUGUUAUAUGAAAUUAUGAUUUUUGGAGAAUUUGAGACAUGAGAUGAAAUCAACUUGAAAUCACAUGUCCAAACAUUGAUUUAAUCUCGCGAUAUGAAAUCACAUGUCCAAGUACCUUCUUCAAAAUGAAUUUAUCCAUCUCUUUGUUUUAGUCUUUUUAACUCUUUCUUUUAUAUUUCUCCAAAAUAACUUGAUACUGAGCUUUUCCAUGUUUUCUCUAUCCAUUUCUUCAUUGAACGCUUAUCUGGACGGGAAAGUAGAGCCUCUUUGUUGAAAUGAAGUCUGUUUAUUCUACGUUAUUUAUUGUGAGCUUAACCAUACCAUUGAAAGUAGUUGGCAAGUUAUUGAAAGUUGUUUCAUACUUCAACUGGGAAAUCUUAUUUCUUUAUCGUUUGUUGUUGCUGCCACAUUAAUCUUUCUUCUCUGCAUUUGCGCCAAGUAUAUAUUGGCCAUUAGAAUAUUUUGAGACCUGGUUGGCUUAUAAAACUGAUGGUACGAGUUUGCAAAAAAACACUAGGUGAUUCUUUCAUCUGUAUAUCAUACAUAGCCCUAGUGUACAGAGACCAAAUACUUGUUGUUGGUAGGAGGUGAUAGAUAUCCUGUGGAAUUAGUCAAAAUGCGCGAAAGCAAAUAUUUUGCUGACUUUGGUGACCAUAAUCAAAUAAUGGACAGAUAAGAAUGUGAAGAUGAACAAUCUGUCAAUGAGUUUUGACCAAUACCAGACCCUACUUUUUCUUUUAAAUAUGUUACCCUUUUUGUGUGUAUUUUUUUUUCUUCUUUUAAAUCUCCAUUCAUUUGGCUUUGGAGUCAAAUUAAAUGGUGAACAGAAAAUGACCCCUCUUACCAAAUCUCCACUAACCAGUGCCCACACCAAUAAGAAAAUACAGUGGAUUAAAGUAAAUUACUAUUUGUAUUCAAUGUGUCUGUAUGUCAUGUAAAGUCAGGACCAAUAGAAAAAUUUGGGUAAUGACACAUUACGAUGGGGACUACUAAAUUAAUUGAUGCUUAAAUAAAUACAUGAAAGAGUUGAAGACUCACUGGUUUAAAUGUACAGUUUCUGGAAAAGUAAAAAAAGAAAAAUUAACUCCUUCAUGUACUUGUAAAGAUAUUACCUCAAUGAUGAUUGAAAACAUUAUAGGGGCAACUAAUGAACUAAUUGAAUUUAGCACAAGGAAAAAUAUAGUUGAUGUAUAUCAGUGUAUAUCUUAUGAGCAGAAAUGGGCCUGAGAAGCCCCCAAAUUUCCAGUUUUUUUUAAUGUUUUGUUGUAAUUGGGUCAAAAGCCCAUUUAUUUUUAGUAUCAUAUGCUAGUUUUAGGAUAGGUGAAAUUGGGCCUAAAGCCUAAAAGAAAUUCAGUUUUAUGCUAGUCAUUAGGACAUGUACAGGUGGGCUCUAAUGGGCCAAAAGUCCAAAGUGAAAUUAGACCCAAGUACCGAUCCAGACGGACAUAAAUCAGACUUGGGCCUACAUCUUCUCUAUUUGUUAUUUAAUUGACAUUGCAUGCUAGUGUGUUUACUUAAUUUCAAGGUUUUUCCCUAAAUCAAUUCCCCAAAAAAUUACCAUUUUUUUGAUUACUUAUAUUUUUCUAAUUUCUUUUGGAUAAGUGUUCAUUUUCUUACUUAAAUUACUUUGAGAUUUUAUUUAAUAAAAUCCUCAUAUUUCCUCUUCCCCCCUAAGAAAAUAGUUUUAAGUCUUAUGUUGUUCAUUUCUUCAAUUUUGCUCAAGUACGCUUAUUUUCUUAAAAUAAUUAACCAAAUAUUUUAAUUAUUGGUUAACCGCGUGUUAGAGGGUAUUUCGGGUGCUUUCAAACCCUUCCUGAAAUGUUAAUGUGAACCCCGAACCCCCUUUUAAUAUUUUCAUUAGAUUUCUAUUUUAAUCUUUUGGAAAAAUAGUCUCAAAACCUGUCAUUUUGUAAUGACUUGUUCCCGUCGUUAUAGAAAAGCCAAUGGGGAAAGAAUCGGGGCCAGAAAACUUUUGAGUAGUAACUUGGAAUUUCCCAACCUAGUCCAGAUUUGGACGAAAUCAGAGUCGUUAAGGUGUAGGGAAAUCUGGUAACAAUCGGGUGACUUAUUUAUGAUUUUGAUUACAUAAGUGGCUAGAUAAGUCGUUAAGGAAUCUGUACGACUUUACAGAAUUGAAUUCGGGUGAGUAGAACUCCCGAAAUCGAUCUUAGCGUGAACGGUAUUUUCUGAGCGACAUUGGUUAAAGGUGUGUUGUGAAAUGGGGGUCUUGGAAUUAUUAAAAUAGCUCGUUGGUUCCGUGCAAGCCGCUGGGGCGGGAUUUCUGCCGCUAGGGAGAGGCCGCUGUAGCGGAGUGAGGACCGCUGUGGUGGGUCCGACGUGAUUUAAGGUUGUAAAUAAACCCCAAAACAUCUUUAUUCUGCACUUUUCAAUUUUUAGAGCUAAGGAACGAACCCCAGGCGAUUCUUGACAGUUUUCCACCAUUUUGUAGGCUAAAGGUAAGAUUUUAACUCCCCGAAUCCAUUUUUUGAUCCGUAAAACGUAAUCUAAAGAGUAAUUAUCGAUGGGGGAGGGUUUUGAUCUAGAAUCUAUGGUGGAAACAACUCUAAAUUGGGUAUUAGGAUCUUGGGUUUGGUCUAGGGUUAUUGUGUUUGUUAUAAUCUGGAUAAUUAGACCUUUGAUUGUUGAUCCUUGCAUAUAUUAAUUGUUUGUAGACCUUAGAACAAGUCGAAAGAAUCCGGAAAGGAAAGAUUCAAGUGCCUUAGGGGAUUCAAGCUUGGAUUCGAGGUAGGUGAUGGUUGUGAUUUCAUGUUGGUGUGAAUAUAUGUUUGUAAUUGCUUAUUAUAAUACAUGUAUAUAUGCGAAUGUUGCAUUAUUAAUCACCCUAAUCAUAAAUGAGGAUAAUUGAAUAAUUGUAUGCCAUGAAUCACCUCUUGUUGUAUGAUUGUGAGAAUAUACAUUGUGAUUGUAGUUUGUUGAUUGGAUUGGUUACCACAUUCCGGCAUAAGCAUCAGAUCGGUUGCCAUGUUCAGGCAUAAACAUGGGAUCGGUUGCCACGUUCCAGCAUAAACAUUAGAUCGGUUGCCACAUUCUGGCAUAAACAUUGGAUCGGGUACCACGUUCCGGUAUGCUAACAGUUUGGGUGUGGGUUCCAUGAGAGGACCAUUGAAUUGUGUUGUGUAUCUACUUGUGAUGAUUACGUUCAUAUCUAAUGAUGAUUGAUAUUGGAAGACUGUAUGUUGCUCUAAAUUGAUAACUAAUGUGUAUUAUUGAGAACAUGGGAUGCUACAUUGAUCCUGAAAAGAUGACUAAUAUUGUAUAUGUUCGGUUAUAUGCGUAUUUAUAAUGUUGUGGUUACUUGCAUGUGUUUCACUUAUUGGGAUAGCCGUGUGACCCUACCAGUACACUGUGGUUGUGUACUGAUAUUGCACUUUCUUGUUCUUUGUUGAGUACAGGGCAUCUUCAGGCGGCUAUUGAUAGACCUCAGCUAAGUGACUAUUGAUCGUGAUCGAAUUCAAGGGUGAGUCAUUUCUUUUAGGCUGUCAUGGAUCUCUCUUGUUUAAGUCCAUUCUUUCGGACUAAAACUAUUUUUUUAAUGUGUUUGUUUAGUUUCGGGGUUGUACCCUUUGUUCUUAGACUUGUCGUUAGUAGAGUUUUGGUACAAUGACUUUCAGGUUCUAAGGGUUGUUCUUCCGCAUUAGUUUGGUUAGUUGUUUGUUAAAACCUUGGAGUUUAUGAGGACUCCAUUUUUAUAGUCAUUUAAACCUGUUUCCAUAUCUUUAAAUACCUUAUUUUUCAUAAAAUUUGUUUGUUUGGGUUGCAAUAAUGGUUCUCCCACCAAAAGGUUUGUGUGGGUGUCAAUCACAACGGUCUGGGUCGUGACAAAGUUGGUAUUAGAGCCCUAGAUUCGUUGAUCUCAUUGUACUAAAAUAAGUCUAGUAGAGUCUUGCGGAACAGUACGAAGACGUCCGUUCUUUUCUUCGAGAGGCUAUAAGACUUUAGGAAAAACUCACUUCUUUCUACUCCUUCGUGUUAUGACUUGAAUCCAAUUAGUAUCUGGGUGAUACAAAUUGGUAUCUUUCCUCCUUCACCCUAUGGUCCGAACUAGAUCAACAAAAGUGGUAACACCAUCACUAGCAAGAGAGGAUGUGUAUAGACUAUCGAAAAUUGAAUAGGGUCACCAUUCAGAACAAGUAUCAAUUGCCUCAGAUAGAUAGAUGACCUUUUUGACCAAUUGCAAGGAGCAUCGAUUUUCUCUAAGAUUGAUUUAAGGUUUGCUUACCAUCAGUUAAAGAUUGAGGCAGUUAAGAAUUGGGUUCGACUAAGUUCUAUGAUUGAAAUUAGCAGUUUAUGGGGGAUCGCUAGCUACUAUUGUCUCUUAUGGUAUGAGUUGAGUCCAAUUGGUAUCUCUCAAUUUCAAUUGGUAUCUCAACGAAGUGAACUAGACGUCGUAGUCCCGGCUGAUGGGACACAAGCAAGUUAAUUGGAACUGAGAAGGUUCCAAUUGGUAUCUGGCCUUAGAGGCCGUAUAAGGCAUAGAUGAUUAGUAACAGUUGUCUAUGAAACGAACUAAUUAAAGAAUUUGAACUUAUCUGCAAGUUGUAACUGCUUGAGUGUCAUGAAAGUUGUUGCGAAAAGAAAGUCAUCACAAGAUUAGGUGCAAUAGUCUAGAUUAAAUUACAAUGUGGUUCAUAAGCGAGAAAUCUAGACGUGCAUUGCGACCAGCUGGUAAUCGUGUGAGAGUCUGGGUGUAUCCUGGGGAUAUGUGUGUGGUAGUGUUACAACGAUGUAAAGGAAUUCUAAAGUGCGUACUUCGUUGGGUUGACCGGGGGUAGACAAUGAUUGUCCUAGUUAAAGGGAUUUUUCUUAAAUGCCUAGUUAUAAUCGGGAAAUCUAGGGGAAAUGUAGAAAUGAGAGGAACCACAAAAAUUGUUAGCAGAGGUUAUGUUUCUGUCACGGCCGCUGGGCGGGAUUUUCCCCGCCACGAUGAUACCAUCAGUGCGGGAUUUCUCCCUCUAGAGUUGGACAGGGCGAGACAAAAUCUCAGUCUGUCUCCCCUGUUUUCCCCAAGUCACAAUUAUGGACCUCGAAUGGUACCUGAACUAACCCACGCGAUCUAAUUUAGUGUUUAGUAAUCGAUUAUAAGUUAUAAGUUGUGUUAAAAUUGUGGAGAACCUGGGCAUAUGAGGAGGAAAUCAAAGAGGUCGUGGAGGCCGGGAAAAUGGUAAUGCAGGUAAAGGAGUAGUGCAGCCAGGCAAAGAGGUUACCCGUCAAGAUAACAGGGCUCAAUUUUAUAUUUUUCCGGGUAAGAUCGAGUUUGAGGGUGUGAUGUAGUAGUCACAAGAGCUACUCUUGUCUGUGCCCGGAUGGCUAUUGUUUUGUUUGAUCCGAGUUCUACUUAUCGUAUGUGUCAGUUCAAUUGUCUUGGAAUUUGAUGUGGUUGUGAUAUACUUGAUGCCCCCAUCCAUGUUGCUACCCCAGUUGAAGAGUCAGUCAUAGUCACCCAUGUAUAUCGUGUUGUCCUGUUGUGUUUAUGGAUUUCAUAUUUGAGUUGAUUUGGCUAUGUUGGAUAUGACUGACUUAAUAUAAUCUUAGGAAUGACUUGGUUGUCCCCUUAUUAUACCAGACUUAAUUGUAAUACUAAGUCGGUAACUUUAGAGGUCCCGGUAUGGAAAUACUAGAGUGGGAAAGAGUGUACAAGCCUAAGCUAGCUAAGAUCAUAUCCUCCAUUCGGGCUAGGAAACUGGUAGGGCAGGGUUGUUUGGCUUAUUUGGCUCAUGGUUGGGAUGUUGAGGUUGAGUCUGUUCCUUGGUGUCUGGCUUUAAGGAAGUGUUUCCUACGGAUUUGCCUGGUUUGCCUCCGGAUAGAGAUAUAGAUUUCUGCAUUGACUUGGAAACUGACACUUUCCCCAUUUCUAUCCCUCCGUAUCAUAUGGCUCCAGCAGAAUUAAGAGAGCUUAAGGCUCAAAUCCAAGAGCUUCUUGAUAACGGGUUCAUCCGUCCUAAUGUUUCCAAGUGGGGUGCUCCUAUCUUGUUUGUUAAGAAAAAGGAGGGUAGUAUGAGGACUAAUGAUUUUAUCUUAAUCUAUAAGGGAGUGGAUUAAUACCAGAAUGAUAAGCUUAAGGAUAAAGAAAGUGCCAUUGAGUAUACUUGGGUGAAGGAAAUUGAAGAUUUUAGUAAGAAAGUGUGUACCAAGAUUGGGUUAGUCCUUUAAAUUUGAAGAGUAUACAUGAGUUUUAGGUGUCAUGUUGAUGAAAAUGUUGACUUCACAGUGAUAAUCAGGGCUGAAUGAGCGUAAUGGUAAUAAGAGUUCGCGGUUGCCACGUUCCGGCAUAAACAUGAGAUCGGUUUCCAUGUUUCGACAUAAACAUGGGAUUGGUUGCCACAUUCCGGCAUAAACAUUGAAUCAGGUACUACGUUCCGGUAUGCUAACAGUUUGGGUGUGGAUUUCAUGAGAUGGCCAUUGAAUUGGGUUCUGUGAGAAUUGUGUUAUGUAUCUACUUGUGAUUAUUACGUUCAUAUCUAAUGAUGAUUGAUAUUGGAAAAUUGUAUGUUACUCUAAAUUGUUAACCAAUGUGUAUUAUUGAGAACGUGAGAUGCUACAUUGAUCUUGAAAAGAUGACUACUAUUGUAUAUGUUCGGUAUAUGCCUAUUUUAUAAUGCUUUGGUUACUUGCAUGUGUUUCACUUAUUGGGAUAGCUGUGCGAUCCUACCAGUACACUGUGGUUGUGUACUGAUACUGCAAUUGCUUGUUCUUUAUUGAGUACUGGGCAUCUUCUGGCGGUUAUUGAUAGACCUCAACCAAGUGACUAUUAAUCGUGACCGGAUUCAAGGCUGAGUCAGUUCUUUUAGACUGCCAUGAAUCUCUCUUGUUUAAGUCCAUUCUUUUCGGAUUCAGACUAUUUGUUUAAGGUGUUUGUUUAGUUUCGGGGUUGUACCCCUUGUUCUUAGACUUGUCGUUAGUAGAGUUUUUGCUACAAUGACUUUCAGGUUCUAGGGGUUGUUCUUUUGCAUUAGUUUGGUUAGUUGUUUGUUAAAACCUUAGAGUUUAUGGGAACUCUAUUUUUAUAGUCAUUUAAAACUGAUUUCGUAUUUUUAAAUGUCUUGGUUUUCAUAAAAUUUGUUUUUUGGGUUGUAGUAACGAUUCUCUCACCGAAGGGUUUGUGUGGGUGCUAAUCACGAUGAUCUGGGUCGUGAAACGUUUUCUCUUUUUUACUAUAAAACAGAAUGACGACUCUGAUGGGGAAAGAAGUUGAGGAAGAAGACAAGAAUCGCUCUAUACGCAUCCAAGGCGUGAACCUGUAGUUUUCCGUCUACUUCCAUCUCGAUGCCGUGAAUUCUGUCGUUUGAGUAGACGCGUAGCUUUCUUUGAACUCUGAUGUCGUGUGUUGCCGUUUGGAAUGUGAACGUUGUAGGAAUAACGUUAGAAGCUACUGGGUUUUUUUUUAGAAGAGAAAAAGGUUGGGACGGGUUGGGUCACUUAGCGUGGGCCGCUGAAGUAUUCUGCUGGAGUGGGUUCUUUUGCAUUGAAAUGUUGGGAUGAGAAUGUUUUAGUGGGCUGAAAGAAUUGGGAAUGGGUCCAAGACCAAGGUGUUUUGAUGGGUUUAAAUUAAAGUAGUUGAAUGUAUUAAUGAUCUAACCAAAUCGAAUUACAAUUGGCCUAUCAAGGUUACAAUCUUAGCCAAGUUGAAUUUAGAAGAGAUUGAGUUUAAUUAGCAAAUUUGACUAAAACUUAAAUAAGACGAAUUAAUGUUAAUCAAUUAAUGAGCUUCUUAAUAUUAACGAAAUAAAAUAAUUAACUUAAUUAUAAACUAAUUGAUAAGAAGUUAUACCCCAACUUUAAACUAAACUAAUUUUAGUAGAAUAUUUUAAAUAAAAUCUUUUUGAGAUGAUUUUUAAAUAUUUAUAAAAUAUACUAGUUACAUACAUAAAACUAUAUGAAAUAUAUUUAUUAUUUAUAAAUUAUGAAAAUCACUUAAAAUAACUUUGAAAAGUAUUUAAAAUUUUAUAAAGCUAAUUAUUCUAAAUCGUUUAAAAAUUAAAAAGCUCAAAAAUUAAUUAUUAUCGGGAAGGGUCAAAAUUGGGUGUCAAUGUCACUCUCCGAGCCUACACCCUGGACGUGGGUGUCACUCGAAGACCAUUGCUGGCCUCAAGCGAACCCUUGGCCUAGCUUACUUAACUCAGUGAAAGACAAUAUUCAUACUUAUAAUGAUCAAUAACACUUAACUGAACUAAAUAAUAAAAUAACUGAGAAUGUUUAAAGGUUAAACAUUCAACUUGGCCAAAAGUGGCAACCCAAGUCUUAACAAUAAGAAAUGAUAACGAAAAGACUCAAAGGACUAACAUAUGACUGUCUAUGAAGUCUCUAAAACAACUGAGAUGGAUGUUGGGACAACCCCACAACAUCCUAAUGAACUAACUAGAAAGCAAUGAAAAUAGAUCCUCCGGAAUGCAAUGAGGCUCACUGACUGACUCUGAAUUGCUCACUAGAUCAACAGUGCGCUGGAAUGCAGAUCCUAGUUACAUGUGUCUACAUCAUAAGACGAUGCAGGCCAACUGGCAUCAGUCUAUUGAAUGUACGAGUAUGCGAGUUGGAAUGCUAAAACAACAUAAGCUUGAAAGGGAAAUCUGAAAGAAACACUUACCUAACUCUUCUCAACUCAUGAAUACUUAACUGAACUCAUUUCAAUAUAAAGCAGUUUAAAACUAGUGCAAUAUAAAGAAAAGUUGUUUAAAAACAUUAUGUCAACUCUGUGUAUAUACAGGGAUACAACAUAACUCUGAAAUGUAUGUAAAAAUACAAUAAACUGAUGUAUAUAAAAAUACAAUAACUUUUGUGGGAGUUUCUCUAACCGACAACCAUCACAUAAGAACUAUAGUGAUGAUACAGCGAUCUACCUCACGUUGCCAGUGUAUCCUAUACCCGGCCAGAAGUAUAGGACCUGAACUACUAAGUGGAUCCAUUAGUCUAUUGUGAAAAGGGUUCAUCUAAAAAGUAUGGCCCUUUUCUACCCAUGGUGGCUACAUGGUUUUAUGGAGACGUGAGUUAUCUAAACUCAUACUCGCCCCCAAUUCGAUGCUCAAUACUACUCCUAAAAUAUGAUACUAGCUCUUUAUGUUUAAAAACAUACUUCUUCUGUGAUUUGAGAUUAGUGCUCAAAGGCUAUCUUGAAAAAUUCAGUUUCCUUUCUUAUUUAAAUGUGAAAACAUUUACUCUUUGGGAAUACAUAGUCCCGAUAUACUCUUUUGAAGAAAAUGCACUUCAAACUUGACUCUUUACUUAACUUGAACUUUAAGUCUUAAAACAAAGUUAAAACGUUUGUGAAAGACUUUUGAAAACUUUAUAAACUUUGCUUUGACUUGUUUCUUAACUUCUAGACUUGACUCUUAACUUCUCUUGAUGUUGAUCCUAACUUUUCUUGAAUUGGAUUAUGGAUUCAAGGUUCAUGAUCUCAUGUUUAUGGCUGAUUUCAUGAUGUUUAGAUAUACCUUAGAGUGUUGGAAUCAACUAGAAAACAUAGGUACAUUGUUAAGGAAUAAGUAUGAAAAGAUGGGGGAAGAAUGGGAAGAACUGGCGUCCCUGGUGCUCUGAGAGGCGCAGGGCGCUAGCCCUCAACAUUCAGAGAACAAGUUGGAGCACUAUGGCUGGCGCGUCGUGGAAUCAACUAGAAAACAUAGGUACAUUGUUAAGGAAUAAGUAUGAAAAGAUGGGGGAAGAAUGGGAAGAACUGGCGUCCCUGGUGCUCUGAGAGGCGCAGGGCGCUAGCCCUCAACAUUCAGAGAACAAGUUGGAGCACUAUGGCUGGCGCGUCGCCCCAGAGCCCCACAUUUAGGGACUGCUUUGGGGCGCGCUGGCUCGCGUGACGCCCCACUCCCUUCCCCAAGUGUUUGAAGACUUUUCUUCUUCGUUUUUCAAUUCUAAACCCUCUAAACUUCAAUGGUUCUUUCCCCAAACACUUAGAAUCAUNNNNNNNNNNNNNNNNNNNNNNNNNNNNNNNNNNNNNNNNNNNNNNNNNNNNNNNNNNNNNNNNNNNNNNNNNNNNNNNNNNNNNNNNNNNNNNNNNNNNNNNNNNNNNNNNNNNNNNNNNNNNNNNNNNNNNNNNNNNNNNNNNNNNNNNNNNNNNNNNNNNNNNNNNNNNNNNNNNNNNNNNNNNNNNNNNNNNNNNNNNNNNNNNNNNNNNNNNNNNNNNNNNNNNNNNNNNNNNNNNNNNNNNNNNNNNNNNNNNNNNNNNNNNNNNNNNNNNNNNNNNNNNNNNNNNNNNNNNNNNNNNNNNNNNNNNNNNNNNNNNNNNNNNNNNNNNNNNNNNNNNNNNNNNNNNNNNNNNNNNNNNNNNNNNNNNNNNNNNNNNNNNNNNNNNNNNNNNNNNNNNNNNNNNNNNNNNNNNNNNNNNNNNNNNNNNNNNNNNNNNNNNNNNNNNNNNNNNNNNNNNNNNNNNNNNNNNNNNNNNNNNNNNNNNNNNNNNNNNNNNNNNNNNNNNNNNNNNNNNNNNNNNNNNNNNNNNNNNNNNNNNNNNNNNNNNNNNNNNNNNNNNNNNNNNNNNNNNCAAACUCGGAGGCGUUGGAAAGAUCAUUCCAAGAGCUUUCCAACCAUAUCUGGAAGUACACCUAAAUCAUCUUCAUCUAGGAGUUAUGUCCGUUUGAAGUUGACCAAAACUCAACUUUUCCUAACUUAAAACAAAUUUCCAGAUUUUCAUUCUUUCCAAAUAUGACUAUUUCCAAUUAUUAGCUUCUUCCUAGUUAUUUCAAUUUGUGAGAUGUUUCAGUCAACAAGUACCAUAUAUAUAGAGGUAUUUUUGGCUAUUACCAAACGUAGCUACUAUUUCAUUAAAAAUGAUGUAUGAUACAAUGUUUGAUUAAGGAGAAAAUUGCGCAAAAAUCUAACAAUAAAAUCCAAUAAAUAUAGGAGAAAAUCUUGCAUCCCCAUUAAUUAGGUGCAUUUGUAUCUUUAUUACAAAAAUAAAAAACACAUAAUUUGAGUUCUUUCGUCUUCUCUUUUUCUUCGACUACGAUUUUUCAAAACUCUAAUAGCAACAAAAAAGUUCAAAAUAAUCAAAAUUUCCAUUCAAAGAUACAAUAUCAAUGCAUCUAAAUAAAGAAUAUAUGUAUCUAAAGUAUGUGAUGUAUCACUAUAUCUUAAAUAGUGUGUAUCUAUGUUUAUAGCUUUUUACUUUUUUUCUAAAAAUUAAGUAUUUUUCUAGCUUUACAUAUGUUCAACUGAUAGACAUGGUAAGAAAAUCAUGUGCAAUAAUGUAGGUAGAGAAGAAGAGAAAAUUAAGGAGAGUACUGAAAAAUAUAAUUGUCUGAUACGUAUACUUGGAUAAUUUUAGGCAUAAAAUAAGAUAGUCAAUGUCAUGUUUCAACUGUAGGAAUCUAUUACGAAAUUAAUAAUAUUGCUAUAUUGGAUAUAUAAUAAUUUAAAAUUUAUCAAUAAAAAGGGUAAUAAUGGGGCAUAAGUUUGUGUCUUCAAUGCAAUAUGAAAUUUAGAAAAAGAAAAAAAAAAGGAAAGUGUGACUUGUUGGUUUAUUUGGUGAAAAUUUUAAAUUAAUUUAUUUUGUAAAGUGUUUCGAAAAAGUACUUUUGCUGAUUUUUUUUAUGUUUGAUUAAUAAAUUUUAAAAACACUUUGGAGCAGUAAAUUAUUGUUUAAUCAAAGUUUUUAAAAGUUAUGCAUCCAAAUCGGUCAAUAAUUUUAUAAUUUGAUAAAUCGAACCAAGUCAAUUUACUAAUGAAAUGUCCUAAUACGAUACAAAAGUGUGUUUUAGCUAAUAAUUCAAUCAAAUAAAUAAUUAGUGAAAGAAGGUUAUCAAAUUUUUUAAUUGCACUAUUAAUUAUAAAAAAAUAAAUUAACAUUUGACUACAUACCAUUCAAUGAUUUAGACGCACAUUUGAAAGAUAGCACAUAAAGUCACGAAAAUGUUUGAAUAAUUAAUUUAUAUGAAUUUUUAUUGGAGAAAGCACGUAGAAAGUGACACUGCUAAAAAUUAAUCAGUAAACUUUUCAUUUGUUCAUUAAAAAAACAUCCUUUUUGAAACAAAAUUGAUUUUUCUUCAUACCUGACAUAAUGCAUGAAAUGAUCCUUGAAUAAUUAUAGCGUAAUAUGAAAAUUCUUAGUAAAGACUUCUACAAAACGUUAUAUUUUUUCAUAAAAAUAUAUUCUUUCAAAAAGGGCUUCAAAAGAUGUUGACUAUAAUUAAGAAGAUUAGGUUUGUAGAAAAGAAAUGUAUUCACACUCAUAUGCGAAUUAUAUGAAAAUAAGAAGAUUUUCUUUUUGAAAAAUAAUAAUCAGACUUCUUUGAAGUAACAAGGCUAUUCAAAUUACAAUAUUCAUGGAGAAAGAAUCGUAAUAAAUGUACAGAAGCGAUAUAUUUAAUCCAAUAACGAAAUUCUGAAACAAAAUUUCCAAAUGGAUGGGUAUAGUAUUAAAUAUCAAAUACAAUUUAGAUGUAAAAUAUUAUCUUCUAAAAAUAAAUGUUGAAUGAAUUGAUUUUAAAUUAUGAGAUUUAAAAUUAUUUUUGUCUUUGAAAGAAGAUAUUAAUCAAAGAGUGAUUUUUUUUCCAUACAAAUGUGAAUCCCUCAAAUAUUAUUUGAGAAUACAAACUCUUGUUGCGCCCCAAAAAUGAUUUUUUGUUAGGUACAUUAGUAGAAAUAAGAAAAUGAUUCACAAUUAGAAAACUAAAUAUAUUGUCAUAACCUGAAUUAUUCAACAUGAUCGACCUAUUUAUAUUUAAACGAUCAUAAGCAAGUGCAUAGAUAUACUCUUGAAAAAUAAGUGUAGAUAGAAAGAUGUGUUGUUGUGAGCUAUGUGGGUGUAAAUAUCUCUAAAUUUCUUCCAUUUAAAAUUCGAUUUGAACUAAAGAUGAAAGAUUUUGAGGGCGAUACUUAUUACGAUAUAGUUAAAGCAAAGUAUUAUAGUAAGAAUAGACACCUUUAAUAUAGGUAAUCUUUUAAUAGAUUCUCUAUCCUUUUUUUUUCUUUUCAUGUCAUUUAAUUGGUCUAUGUUAUAGUGUUAUAAGAUAAUAAAAUGGUUAUAGUUCAUUUAUUCUCUAACCUAAUCGCUCUUUUGACUUCAAAAAGACAUUUUUUAUCAAUAUAUUGUUUCUUCUACAAACUGUUAUCUCCUGUAUUCAGAUUACAUCUUCAUGAUAAAAAAAUGAUGAUAGUUAAGGUUCAUUAAAAAAUUUGAGAAUUCGCUCAUGAAAAAAGAAACCCUUCCCGCAUUAGGAUUUGAUAAAUUUUUAACGUCUAAUUAGAUUGAGAAUUAUUCAAAUUAAGAACAAAGCUCGUUGCUUUUUCUUUCCCUGUAAAUUAAUUAAAGACGCAGUUCUAUCCAUUUUUUCAGUCGACCCAAUUUUAUUUUGUUCUAUUCCAAGAAUCUAAAACAAUUUUAUAUCUCCGACACACAAAUAAGUAUGCGGUGGAAAGAAAGCAAUCCUAAACUCUGUCCAACCUAUCAUUCCGCUGGCAUUUCACAUUUUUUAUUCUUAUUUAACUGUCACUCGAAAAUAUUGUUAUACGUAGAUGAGUCUUAAUGAGUAGUAUUUAUGUAGAACAUGUAACCAAAUAUUUAGUUUAAAAUUGACUAAUUUCUAAUUUUUCCUUGGAUUUUUUUCAAAAAUGCUUUUAAAAAAAAAUCAACUUUGAAAAAAUAAUUUAUACUACUCUUCAGAAAUACAUAUUAUUUUUUAAAAAAAAAAUAAUAACUAAACACCUCACAUUCUUAAAAUAAGCCUUUUUAAUAUUUGAAAAACGUGACUAAAGGAUUUUAAAGCUUUAUACUAAAAAGAAAAGCAUGACUAAAAAUAAUUCAUAUUUGAAGCCCUCGCAUCUUUCCCAAUAGGCAUAAUACAUAAAGAGGACAUUUAACUUGGCAUCAAUUCACAACUAUGACCUUAAACUUUGCCAGUGCACAAGUAGGCACUUCAACUAUCCAAAAAUUUAACAAUUAAACACUCUAAUCCUACAUGGCAAAGUGCAUGAAACACACUUCAAUUAGGCACGUCAGUGAUAAAAAUAAAGGCCCCCAACGGUAAUAAAAUGCUUAAAUAACACUUCUACCCUUAACUUUUGCCAUUUUCCUUUACUCACUUUACUCUCUUCUUUCUAAUUUCUUCAACAACUUUUGCCAUUUUCCUCUCUUUCUUCACAAUUUUCUGCUCAAUGAAAUGACAUCAAUUUUUUUGUCAUUGUGGAAAAAGAGCUUUAAUGAAGAUUUCUUGGUCCGUAAACAACCCAGGUCGCUGGUUUCUUGGAUGUGAAGAUAGUCGGGUAAGGUUUCAUUUUAGAUGACCUUUUUUUUGUUUAAAUUCUAGCAUUCAAGAUACAAUUUUAUGAUUAUUUUGUUGCUUCUUAAACAGGCUGGAUGCAAGUUUUUCAAGUGGUGCGAAAUUGAUUAUAACGAACAAGCUAGAACUGUUAUUUCGGGAUUACAAAAAAGGAUAAGACAACAUAAUGUAUAAAAGAAAAAAAAUAGGAGAAAAUAUCGAGUUUUGUUGAUCGUUGUGAUCCUAUCUUGGAUUUAUAGAGAGUUUUUUAUGUAGUGAUUGUUACGUAUGUUGAUUUUGGGUACUUUGGUUGGUUGCAGGAGUCAUUUUGGGACAUAAUGUAGUUUUCUUUGGUUUGAUAACGGCCUACUGUAAAGAAGUUUUUAAGUAAAUGGUAAUGAAAGAUUGUAAAUUAGUUGCUGAAUAAUUGUAUGUUAGUUUUGCAAACGUAUCUUGAUACUCCAAAAUAUUUGUAGACGUAACUUCUGCUGCUAAUUGACAAAUUUUGGAUGUAAUUGGAGAAGAACAAACACUUACGAAAACAAAAGAACUAUAUUGGCACAGGAACAUGUAAUAAAGGUGCUAUUAUAUUCUUCAAAAGCUAGUAUAAUUGGCAAAACAAUUGGCUCUUGAAGAUGUUUAUGUGGAGCACAAAAGCAACAACAAUGUACAAUUGGCAAAACUCAUGUUUCUUGCUUCAAUGCUACUGUAAGCUACAUAUAAUAGAGCAACUUGUAUGCCUUUUGUUUUAACAACAGAAAUUAAAAGGAAAAUCUUAUAAUAUAAUAGCAGCUUCACACAUAUCUCAUCGAUCAGUAAAAUAGCUCGCAUCCACAUACUACAUCAAUAAAAUAGCUCAUACCCAUAUGAAGCUAUAUCUAAUAAAACAACUCAAACUCACAUGUACUAAACAUCAAUAAGAUUUUCCAUAACAAACACCAAAAAGCUUUACAAAAUAUCAACUUAACCUCCAUAUGCUUCAUAGCCAUAAUAACCUUAAAAAAGUAGUCUAAAGGCAAAUAUACAUCAAAAUAUCCAAAAGUACAUCAAAAUGAUCAAAAGUGGAAUAAUUUAAAGGCAAAUCACUGUUUUACGUGAAUUAUGCCUUCAGAAAAUAUAUAUAUCAAAAUAAGCAAAAAUAGAGUUGUCCAAAGUGUAACCAUAUCACUAGGAUAAUUGAACUCUCAUGGUACCCAUUUAGAUUUGAUUUGAAAUUUUUUCCGUUGUUGCAUUUGUUGAAGUUGAUUUCCCGUCAUAGCUUAUUUUCCUUUCCAUUUCAAACCAGGUGGCUUGAAUCCAAGAUCUACAUUUGUUUGUGAUGCAUCCUUUAAUGUUGUCCCACUUGAGAUAACUCUUUCACUUGAUCUCCCGGGCUAUAUAAAUCAUAUACAUAAGGUUACCUAUACAUUACUCUUUAUAUAUAAAUUAAGAUGAAAAAAAAUCAAGUUAAGAACACACAUACAUUAAUGACUUAUCUUCCAGAUUGUAUAUCUGUGUAAAUACCAAAUCCAACAUCUCUUGUACUCUUCCUUCCAAAUGAAGAAGAUGCCCUUGUAGAAGAACUAUUUGUUUGCUUUUUUCUUCCUUCAACUCUUGAAGUUUCUGGAGAUAAAAAGUGGAAUGUCGAGUGCUAGACUGACUCACCGAUGGUUGUGAGGGCUGUUGACGAGGAUGUUGAAAAGGCUACUGAUAGGGCUGUUGAAAAGGCUGUUGACGAGGCUGUUGAGAGGGCUAUACAAUAAGAAAAAGAUUUAGAAGUCUAAAAAUGAUUACAUAGAAAAGAAAUAUCAAAUACAGUACUUACCACUGAUUUACAGGUCUUUUUAUUAUGCCCAACUUGAUGGCAUUUGGAACAUGUCAUUUUUACUCCAUUUUUUUAUGCUUUCCCCCACUUUUUUUUUCUUGGUUCAUCUUUAUCUUUUCUUCUACAUUUGUCUGGUCUUCCAAGCAUUAGCUUGACUUCAGGGGGCUCUAUUUGCGGGUUAUUGGUUUCCGGCCACAUUUUCAUAUUAGAGAUAGACUGUAAGAAGUACUUAUAAGCACGUAGGAAUGUAUCUUUUCGGUACCAAUGAUCUACAUAAUUUUCUGGUUCUUGUCCAAUGUGAUACAAGGUACAAACUAGAUGUUGGCAAGAGAUACAUUUCAACUGCCAUAACCUGCAACUACAUGUUUUAUUAGGCAUAUUGACUAUGUGCCUAUAUUCUCCUUCCAGAAUCUCAAAUCCGGUGUCAUGGUUCCAAUUCACCUUUAGCUUCCUACCAAUCUCUUUGUUUAUUUCUAAAGUUAGUCUUGCCAUGGGUGAAAUGUCACUGAUCCAAGUAUCGACAAACUUGAUCAUAUCUCCAUGUCUAUCCAUCAUUUUAUGUCUAAUAUCUUCAAGCAUACUAAUCACAGAUUUAUGCCUAGGACCAACAAUUCAAGAAUUGAAUGUUUCACACAUAUUAUUUUCCACCACAUCACACUUGGUUCUUUCACUAAAAAAGGCCCUACACCAAUAUUCUUUGUUAUACUUAAGCAAUGACUCACAAAUGUUGUUACCAAGUUGUCCCAAAUAUGCAAAUUGAUCACUCAACUUUACUUCAAAACUAGCUUUGGAACACCUCCAAAAUGCUUUUCUCCUUGCUUCACCUCUCCAAGUCUUUUACCAAUUUGCCCAAAUGUGCCUUGCACACAUUCUCCUUCCAACAUUAGGAAGCAACCCAUCAACAACUGAAUCAAGACCCUAGAAAAUAAAAUAAAUAGAUGAAGUUCAGCAUUAAACACCAAAGUAAUAAGGAUAUAAAAGCAGCACCUUCAAGUUCAAACUUAAAAGAAAAUACACAUAUGCCUCAACUUUCAAAGUAAAUAGACAUAAUAAAGGAUGUUACGUCAUAAAGCUUAAGUCCAAUUUUAAUAAGAAAUAAGGCAGAAAAUUUAAAAAGCCACCAGAAAUUAGCUUCAUUUUCAAAUGAUAAAAAAAAUUAAAAGAAGAAGAAGUUAACAACACUAAGUUUCUUGAAUUUUAGAUAGUGUUCUUGAGGUGUUUAUAGUUUGUUUGUUAAUAGCACUAGUGUCUUGCUGGCUAUGCCAUAUUCUCAUGUUAGAGUAGAUAUUGGUCCUCCUUCACUUGCUACAAGAUCAAGCCUUGUCUUGACAUAUUAAAAUCAUGCUUAAGAAUAGAAUUCUGAUUUCUUUCUUAUGGUGCAAUCUAUACAUCUUAAUUGUCUAGUUGUGUUAUUGUUGGCAGACAAAUUCAAUGGAUUCUUUGUUCCCACUUACUUGCCUUAGGAGACUCUGGAUAUCAGAGGAUAGAUUAAAAUGAGCUUCAUACAUUACUAAUGGGAUAGAAAUAUGAACGAAUACAAAUAAUUUUAACAUAGUGGAUAUAUUGAUGCCAGGAAGUUGCAGGCUUUCUAUGUUCAGAAACACAUUUUCCUAGUAGUUUAAAAUGUGGUAUGUUCAUUCCCUGUUUCUAUACUACAAUAUCACACAUGUCUCAUUUUUCUAUACUACAAUAUCACAUAUGCCUCGACUGAUUCAAAAUUAUAAAUUGUAAAUAAAAGAUAAAACAAGUAUAGAGAAGAAGAAGGCAGCAAUAACUUAUAUAAACAAGUAUAAACAGUUUAAAACAAUACCUUUUGCAUGUCAGACAUGAUUGUUAUGCCAUUUCUGUCACCAAGUUGCAAAUCUUGAAUGAGAUAGCUCAAGAACCAACUACAAGAGUGUUUAGUUUCUUGGUCAACCACUGCCCAAGCUAUUGGAUACAUUUGUUGGUUUCCAUUUUUUCCAACAGCCACUAAUAAUUCUCCUUUACAAGCACCCUUCAAAAAACAUCCAUCCAAUCCUAUAAUCUUCCUACAACCUUCAAGCCAUCCAUUCUUCAAUGCCCCAAAGCAAACAUACAAAUAUUUGAACAGGUAUUUUUCGGGGACUGUUUCAUUAUCAGUUCUCACCCAACAAGAAGUCCCAGAAUUCGUACUCUUAAUCGUAUCAGCAUAGUCUAACAACUUUGAAAACUCAAGCUUCCAAUCACCCAAGAACUUGUUGAUAACAUUCAUCUUUGCCCUAUAACAUAUUGAUCUUCCCACUUUUAAACCCCACUUCUUUCUUAUUGUCUCUUGAAGCUUAUAAACUCUAAUAUCAUGUUGGGAUAUUAUUCUUUCCCUCAUCUUUCUUUCCACAUAUUUGGUUGAGCAUAAUCUGUUCAUGUUCUUUGUAGGACAUUUGUGAACAAGAUAAUUUUUCACUGUAUCUUUAUCCAAGCUAGCAAAGAUUUCCCAAUUACAUUUUCCUACACAUCUUACCCUUAUUCUAUGAGGUUCAUUGGGUUUAAUUUUUAAUUGAACCUUCUGUCGAACACCAUAAUCAGCGAUAGCUUUUCUAAACUCAACUGCACUCUCAAAUAUCAUACCCAAUUCAAAGAAAGAAAUGGAACAAGAAUUAUCAUACCUCAAUUUUUUGCUUUUUCUUCUGGAAGGUAAAUCAACACCUGGUUGUGCUAAAACAUCUAGCUCUUCAUCGUUAUCUUCACUUGGUUCAUCUGAUGAACCAAUGAACUCUUCAUUACCUCCCAAUCUACCAAUAUACUUGGCUGCCUUAUUCUUGAAAAUAUCCUCAAAUCCGUUAUCUAUGCCAGCUUCUCCAAGCUCAACCUCUUGAUUCUUGGUAGAUUUUUAAUUCUCUCUUUUGACUUUGCAGCUUCAUUCCUCUUUUCUUGUCUCAGAUUUUCUCUAAAGGCUCUCAAUUCUUCAUCAACUUCACUGUCAUCCUCAUCGGAACCCCAUCUAAAUCUUCCUCUUCAAAGUCAAGAGAGUCACUAUUUUCUUCCUCAUUAUCAUCACCAGCUCUCUCGUUUAAGGUCCCGUUUAUACCAUCCUCAGGAUAUGAAGCUCUAGAGGAAUUCUAUUAAUUCUUGAAUAUUUUUUUCACCAGAAAAUGUUCCCAAGACAGUGCUAGUAGUGGGCCCCCCUUCUUCAACAGUCACAUGCUUCAUAUACAAAUUAAAAUAGGACCCACUCCACAAUUGUAUAGUUGGUUGUCACUUUCUAACUUCACAAAUCUAUGGGUAGUAGGGUCUUCAACAUAAAAAGCUUCAAUUUCAUCAUACCCAAGAUCUUUGCAUAAGAUUUCAUUUCGGUCAACGAAAAGUGGUCUUUGUCUAUGCUAAAUAUAAUAUUGUCCAAUUUCGAAACAGACCUUUAUAAAAGCUACCUCCAUGGUGAAAAACAGCGAUAAUGUGAUCCAUAUGUUCAAUACUGUGAAGAAAAGAGCAAAUUUACAGUUGUGGUAAAAAAAUCAUAAUUUUUAUAUAAAAUUAUCAAAAGGGGAAAUUAAACAUACCUUAACUAAAUUGACGAAGAAUAAUAGAUAGAUAUCCAAGUACGUGAAAUUUCAGCACAAUUCUUGAACAAUUUUACCUUUGAUUCAAAGGAUGAAAUGUAGGAACUUAGGGUUAGGAUUUUGUAGAGAAGAAAGAGGAAAACAUUGUCUCUGUUCUAAGCAUAGGGUCAGAGUUGUUAAUUGAUAUUUAUUUUGUUUUUAUUUUCGGUAUUUAAUUGAAAAAUCCACGUGUAUUUAUUUUAAUUAGUUGGCAGCCACGUAGAAGCAUUUGUAUAUCACGCACUUUGCCUGAAAUAUACGAGUGUUUAAUUGUUUAAAUUUGUAAUAGUUAAAGUGCCUACUUGUGCACUGACAAAGUUUAGGAUCAUAGUUGUGAAUUGAUACCAAGUUAAAGAUCCUCUUUAUGUAUCAUGCCUUCCCAAUAAGCUGUUAAAUACUUUUGCACAAAAAUAUUUGAAAAAAGAAUUUGCUUGUAAUAUUAUUUUCCCUCCUAGCCAUCUAAAGAAUAAACUUACAGAGAUGCUUGAGACCUAAUACAAAUUAUAAUAAAAUUUGUGAUUAAUUAUUUUAUAGGAGAUAUAGUAUGUAAUGAGCAUUUUCACACUGAGAUUAAGAGUAAUUAAAGGCUCUAAAGUCCUUAUAUUAAGUAAUUUCUACAUAAUAAUCCAUAAUUUAUUGUUAUUAUUAUUUAUUAUAUAAACCCUCGAACUUAACACAAAUUAAUAGUUUCUUCGAGCUAUUGACAAUCUUAAAAUAAUACUCAUCUACUUGACUAAUCAAAUUAAAUACACUCCCGAUCUGUCACAUGACUUAACAAGUGGUUUCAAACUAUUGUAGUAGCAUGAAACUCUUAAUAAAAUAUCCUAAACUUGACGAUAAAUUAGGGAUUUAUUUCACUCAUGUUAAAAAAUUGAGGGUGUAUGUAAAUUCAGUUAGUCAAGUAAAAAAGUGUUUUUAAAUUUAUCAAUACUUAAAGAAUGAAACUAAUAAUUCAUGCAUAAUUUAUGAGUGUUUUCAAUACUCCCUUCCAAAUAAUUCACGAAAAUUCUGCCCGUUAUGUACAGAUCUUCAAUACGUGUCUAGAUACAAUUGUUAUAUUUUCUCAGAUUGCAGGAGCUUACCAACUUUUCACUUACAGACAAUUAUUUUGUAUCAAGGCAACAAAAUCUGAACAUUACAAAUUAUUUAGUCACAACUUUAAUGCUUUCAUGUAUAUAUAUUACACUAGAUAAUGUUGCCCGUGCUAUGCACGGGCCCAAUAAUAUAAAUGGUAUGUUUUGGAGCUAAUAAUCGAGUUUUUGAAGCGAUUGUUUGCGUGGAUAAAAGAAUAUGUUUUUUUAUCACAAACCUGUACUUUCUUUGACGUUAUUUAAGGCAUAAUAAGACUACCCACAUACAAUAUUUUUGAAAUAUUUUAUGUUGUCAAUUAUCAUGAUUUAUAGUAUUUUUACGAUAGAUUCACUUCAAGAAUCAGUGGAAUUUUUUGUAUAUUUUUGAAAACAUAUUUUAUGUUGUCAAUUAUUAUGAUUUAUAGUAUUUUUACGGAAUUUUUAAAUAUAAAAAAAAUAAGACAAAUAAAUUAAAAUAGACCUAAUAUAUGUUCUUUUUGUUGUCUCAAUUUAUGUGACACAAAUGAAAUUUGGAGAGUCAUCCCAAUUUUCAUAUUUAAAAAACNNNNNNNNNNNNNNNNNNNNNNNNNNNNNNNNNNNNNNNNNNNNNNNNNNNNNNNNNNNNNNNNNNNNAAGUUAUUAAUUAUUGUGAUUUAUAAUAUUUUUAUGUAACUUUCAAAUAACCUAUAUUACUGGUCACUUUGUCCUAAUUUAUGUGAUAUGGAUAAAAUUACAAAAUUAACCUUUUUAAAAUGUCUUUCAGAUAUUUUAAGUUGUUAAUUAUUAUUAUUUAUAAUACUUUUUUGAUAAUUUUAAAAUGAUAUGUGUUGUUUUUUCUGUCCCAAUAUAUGUGAGCCUGAUAGAAUUCUGAGAGUCAACGUAUUUUAUUAUAUAGCUUUUAAAUAUUUUAAAUUGGUAAUUAUUGUAAUUUUUAAUGCUUUUUAAGUCAUUUGUAAAUGAUAUAUGUUGCUUCCUUGAUUGAGACUUUUCCAUUUGUGACAUAUAUAUAUAUAUAUUUGGUGCCCGUGCCAGCACAUCCCCAAUAAAUAUAUUUUUUUGUUUUAAUUUAUGUGAUAUAAAUGGAAUUUGAAGAUUAGUCGAUUUUUUAUAUGUUUUCUUAAAAAUAUAUUUGAAGUUAUUAAAUUGUUGUGAUUUAUAGUUUCUUUGCGUUAGUUUUGAAUAAUAUAGGUUACUCAUGUUUCAAUUCACGUGAAUAUCAUUAAAUAUUUUUCAGUUGUUAAUUUAUUGUGAAUUCUAGAAAUUUUUGACGUUAUUUUCAAAUAGUACAUGUUACUUAUUCUAUUCCAAUUUAGUCAACCAAAUUUCUUAUGAUAAGAUUUCAAGAGUUAACGCAAUAAAAAUUUAAAUUUUUAAAAAGUUGUACCUCUAAUAUAUUUUGUAGCUAAAAUAUACUCUCUGUCCACUUGUAUUUGUUAUGUUGCGGUUUUUGAAAGUCAAUUUGACUAAUUUUUAAAGUUAGAUCAGAUUGUAUUAAUUCGAUAUUUUAAACAAAAAAAUAAAAUAUGCAAAAUCUAUACAAAAAGCACUAUAAAUUUUAAUUGUUUGCCUAUGAAUAUGAUGAAAAAACACAUUGUAAAAUAUUAGUUAAAAUUCUUAUAGUUUGACUCUAAAAAGGAAAUCAUAACAAUUAAAAGUGCAUAGAGAGAGUAAUAAAUAGGUAAUUAAAUUUCAAGAAGUUUAAAAUAAAAGGUUGAAAAAAAGAAUUAGAUAGACAACAUUUAUUGAAAAUUGAAAACAUAUAAAUAAUAAAUGGACCCAAAUGAGGUCAAACUUUUCGGCUAAUAAAGUAGUAGGUAAUUAAUGGUGUUAAAUUAUCCAAUAAUAUAAAUUUUAAUGGUACAACCAUAAAAGAAGAAUGUACAACAUUAUCUAAGUAUAUAUCAUCCAACACUUGUUAUGUGCUAAGUUGUAGAUAUUCCCACUUAUUAUAUAUAGUAAUAUAUACAAAGGGGAGCUUCACCAAAUUAAACAUUUUUACCAAUACACCUCGUAUUUUUUCCUUUGAUCGUCUCUACUUGUAUUCAGGUUAAUUUCGAUUUUAAGUUUAAUUUCGAUUUGUUUGUGAAUGUUUAUUAUUCAUGGUAGAGAAUUUGAUGUUUUUUUUUUUAGUAAAUGUUGUGUGAAUUCUGGAAUUUACGCUUGUUCAUGUUUGCCUUUUUCAUUUUUGUUCAAAUGCUAAUUAUCGAUUUGAUCGGAGAAGCUUUGGUUAUUUAGAUUUUAAAAAAAAAAACCCUUUUCUGGUAAAGAAGGGGGAUUGAAUUGGUUUUGCUUUUUUUGGCCUGAUUUGAUGAUGGAAUGGUGGUCCAGAAUCAAGAUAUAAAGAAUCUAAUUUUAGAUUCAGACACAGAUCUUGCCAAGGUAUUUUGGCCUUGUAAUAGAACAUGAUAUGUCUUCUGUUUGAAUUUUGUAGUUAUUUAAAUGGAAGUCUGUAAUGACUGUUUAACCUACAUUGGUGGUAUAGCUUUUUUGAACAUUUCCAAAUGAACAAUUUCAACUAAAUCUUUUCAUUUCUUAUUUUACCAAUUACUUGUUAUUUGGGCAUCAUUUUCUUGUCUACCUCCCAAGGUAAGGGUAAGGUCUGUGUACACUCUGCCCUCCCUAGAAUUGUGGGAUUACGUUGGAUAUAUUGUUUUUGUUGUGUAUCUCUAGUUUUGCUUUUGCGUUUAAGUUAGUUAAUAAUAAACUGUAGUUUUGAGUCUCUUUUUCGUAUCUUGUGAUUUUCAGAGCUCUGCGACAUAUCACUGAAAAAAUAUAUUUGGGAUGCAGAAAGAUGGGGUGAAACAACAGCUCUUGCCUCUUAGAAGCCUCUGAGUUUCCAUCUGCAUUGGGGUUAUUCUGUUUUCUACAUGAUGAUUUCAAAUUUGCAGCUCAUAGAGCAUUUAGGUUCUCGUGCCAGAUGUACAAUGAAGUAACAGUGAUUAAGAAUGUUGUUGUGCUGAAGCACGGCCUUGUUGCAGACGGUUGAACACUGAAACAAGGUUUCGUGCCUGUAAAUAGAGAAUUAUCAUAUCAGCAGGAGUGUUAUUUAUAGAAUUAUAGUAUAAAGUAGGAUUGUUUGUUGAAAAUGGAGAAGAAAGGAAAUGUAUUGAUGAAAAAAUAUGAAUUGGGGAGAUUAUUAGGUCAAGGCAACUUUGGUAAGGUUUAUUAUGGAAGGGAUCUGAAAAGCGGACAGACUGUAGCCAUUAAAGUAAUUGAUAAAGAGAAGGUUCAGAAAGCUGGACUAACUGAACAGACGAAAAGAGAGAUAUCUGUUAUGGCAAUGGUCAAACAUCCACAUGUUGUGCAGCUAUACGAGGUCAUGGCAACUAAGAGUAAGAUUUACUUUGUGAUCGAACAUGCCAAAGGUGGCGAGCUUUUCAACAAACUGACAAAGGGGAGGCUCAAGGAAGAUGUUGCUAGAAAGUUGUUUCAGCAACUGAUCAACGCAGUUGAAUUUUGCCACAGCCGAGAUGUUUAUCACCGUGAUCUCAAACCAGAAAAUCUCCUACUGGAUGAGAAUGGAAACCUAAAGGUCUCAGACUUUGGUUUGAGUGCAUUAGCUGAGUCUAAGCGGCAAGAUGGGUUACUCCACACAACCUGUGGUACACCAGCAUAUGUUGCUCCUGAGGUGAUUAGUAGAAAAGGAUAUGAAGGUGUCAAAGCUGACAUCUGGUCUUGUGGGGUGAUUUUAUUUGUCUUGUUGGCUGGUUAUCUUCCAUUUUAUGACUCAAAUCUUAUGAAUCUGUAUAGGAAGAUAUGCAGGGCAGAGUACAAAUGCCCUCAUUGGUUCCCUCUAGAAGUGCGUAAACUUCUCUCUAGGAUCCUCGACCCAAACCCUCAUAAAAGGAUUUCAAUAGCCAAAAUUAAUGAAAGCUCCUGGUUUAAGAAAGGAUUGGGAUCUAGACAUGUUGGAACUAAACAAGUAGUGAACCAAAAUGUUAUUGCAGAUGGUGAUGCUGUUUCCAGUUCAAAUUUGGAGAAUAGUACCUCUUCCUCCGACACCAAGUUAGAGUUGAUAAAACCUGCAAUCAUUAGUGCAUUUAAUAUCAUCUGCGGGUUUAAUUUGUCUGGUUUAUUCAUAAACAAUGAUCAUAAGGAGGAGCUGCGAUUCACAUCUGUGAAGCCUGCCCCAGUCAUCAUAUCCAAGCUUGUGGAAGUUGGUAGGAGUCUGAACCUUGAAAUGAAGAAGAAAGAGGGUGGAUUUCUUAGAUUAGAGGGAUUAAAUGAGAGCAGAUAUGAAACUCUGUGCAUUGGCUUGCAAAUAUUUGAAAUUUCUGAAUCCCAUUACUUCAUUGAGCUGAGUAGGUCAAGUGGUGAUGCGAUUGAUUACCAAAACAUGUUGACGCAAACUAUCAGACCAGCUCUUGAGGAAAUUGUUCUGGCUUGGCAAGGUGUGCAAUCUCAUCAAUAGUAAUUAUAGAAUCACUAAAAUGAAGCUUCUGAUAUCCAGAUGCUCGGCUGAUCAUACUUUGUAUUAGUAUUUAAACUAAUUCUGUUUGUUUGGUGCGCUAGUACUAUUUACUGCACCUAUCUAUGAAAGCAUAUUACUGCAAACUUGGAUUAUUUUCCCAGAGUUGUUUCCGUUCUCUUAUUUUAUUGCUUCAGUUAUAAUUUCUGCCUUAUGCGAGAAAUGCUGCAAUAGUACUAGUUUUCAUGCUUGCAUGAGUUAAAUGGCGGAAGUUGUCUUGUAUUUCUAUUUGGAAAUUUGUUCUCAAGAACAGACAGAAUCAGUGGAACAGCAACAGGGUAUGUCGAUUCUACUAUCAUAGUGUAGUUUAUGAUUUAGUGGUGGGAGCUCUUUGAAUUCUCAUAGAAAUGACCUCGACUUGUUGGUUAUGUUGUUUGAGAAAAAUAGAGAAAACCUAAAUAAUGUUGUAUGUUUGUGUGUGAAUCCGUUUUUACUGUGCAUUCAAUUUGCUUACCUCUCUUGAAUAAGUUGUCAAUCUCAAUCCACCUUGUUUUGGGCCUGACUAUUUAGGUGAAAAAUUCAAUAAAACAAAGUGUGCCCGCUUUAACUGUUGGAGUUUUUACUCUACAUAUAUACAAGUGCGAAGUUCAUAAAUGAUAUUUCUGUAUCUCUUCAAUCAAAUAAAGACAGAUUUUAAAUGGAAGUGUAUGUUGGGAUAUUACACUUAUUUCAAAUUCAAUAUAGUGUGUUUGUUUUAUCAUAUAAACUUGUGAUGAUCAUAUUGUAUAGGUAGAAAAUAAGCCUGCUGUAUGGCACUAGAGUUGAAGAAUAAGGAACAAAAUCAUUUAUGGGUUCUCUUAAAGCAUACGAUGAAAUUAUUAACAAGCACCCUAAGAAACCAAGUGAACAAUCCAUUUUCAUUUUCUUUUUGAGGUUGCCAUGAAUAUUUAAAUAGAGAAAAUUUCAGAAAUAGCGAUAGUCUAGGUCUAAUUAUUUGAUGUUUCUAGUCUCCAAUAAUUUGAAGCCUAAUUAUGAUGGAUUUUAAUGUCCGUUUCUGCAAUAUAUAGCGAGAUUUUGUUAUUUCAAAACAUGACAACAUUUUCCUUUUUAAAACAUAGGAAAAUGUAUUGCAUCUGCAUGCAUGAAAUAACUAAUCCUAAUUGAAAUAGCGUGAACAUAAUAUCUGAAAUCUUAAUUGUAUGUAUAUGUAUAUAUGUUUUCAAAGUGCAGAUGUUGGAUGUUUGUGCAUGUAUGUGAAGACAUCAAUUGUAUAUGUGGCCAACUGAACCAAUAUAUAUGUUUUCAAAUUGUAUGUAUAGGCCAAUUGCAUGAGAAAGAUAUGCAAAGUGUGUGUUUUAAUUAUGUCAUACGUGAAGUCAUCACACUGCUUUACACGCAUUUCUAGUUCUGAUAGGGUGUUUGUUUGUGUUUAUUGGGUUUUGUAGGCAAUUGGUGCUGAAUACGGAGAAGGUUUCGAGACAUUUAGACCCAAUGGACUGCUCAAAGUUGAUGUGGUAAAACCAGAAGUUCAGAUUUUGUAACAGGGUUUUUGAAUCUUUGUGCCUUUUGGUGCUACAAGGCAACAUAUCUGUACUCAAGGAGUUCCUUUUUUGGCAUUUAGGAUUUUUUAAAUGAUAGACUGCAAGAGGGUUUCCUGCGAAGAAUCCGUUAUGCAAUGAAGCCUGAUGAAGCUUAUGGCCUCAUUUUCUCUUGGGAUAAUGUGGUGGUAAGACCUGAAUCUUUGACCAUCUGGUCUAAUUUAGGAGAGGUUACCUGAUUCGUGAACUGUUACUUUAUUUGUGAUCAACUGUAUAAGUGACGUGGUCUCUGAAGCCUGGCUGGCAAUUGAUUAUGUCCAUAUAAAAGGAAUUGAUCUUCUAUUGUUGGUUUGCCCUAUGUUUGUGCUUCUUAUUCGUGUCUAAAAUUGCAUGCUUAUAAGGAAUUCUUGAAGGGUGCUGGUUUUGUUACAUUCAGGCCCAAUGUCUGAAUCUUUGAUGACCUUGCCUUACAAACUCAAAGUCUUUGUUUGUGCAUCUUUAUUCCUGCUCUCCAAUUUGGUUCUUAUAUGGGAGACCUUUUUAAAAAAAUUAGGUGUGAAAGACAGAUUAAAGAACUUCUCUCUCUCUCUCUCUCUUCCUAUGUGUGUCUCUCUCACUAUGUGUGUGUGUGUGCAUAUAUAUGUCAAGGAACUUUCCUCUAAUACAUUUAUGAAUUGGAAUAAACUGCAAUAGAAGUACAAGAUCCCCAAAUUAUGGUGUUUCGCCACUCACCCUAGGAAUUGAUGCUUUAAGAUAACAACAACACCACCAAUGUCCAGUUCCAAACAAGUUGAUGCUUCAUGAUAUGACUCCUAAAGAGGAGAGGUGGCUUGUUUUGUAUUAGACAAAGUAUUGGGUGCAUGGACUGGAACUCAGGCAAAAGGCAACAAAAACUUGGGUUCAUGUUAAGAAAGAAGAAUUUGAUAGAAGAGAAAAGUGGGAGUGGGAGAUAAGAUAAUGUUUGGAUUAGAAAUGUUGCUGAAGAUAAUUGUAGACCAAAGAUGUGGUAGAUAUUGAUGUUCCAAUAGUGAAGCUCGAAGCAAUUGUGUUGCUGAGUUCUUUCUUCUACUUGAGUGGAAGUCAUAACACUCAAUUAUUUGUUGACAAUGUACUUCCACAUCAUACUUCUCAGGCAGAUUCUCGAGCUCUGAAGUUGGAUGCCUGGAAUCAAUUGCCUCUGAAGAAGGUGAGUGACUUGCCGAUUUUUCUGGCUGAGUAAUUAAACUUCUUCACUUGGGUUGCAUGCAAAUAUCAAUAUUAUUUCAGCUGUAUAGAAUAAGCCAAUCCGAGUGGGAUUGAAAUUACCUGUGUUGCUCGGACUCUUCUAAAAUGUCGAUGGGUGCAUGUUGUCGGAUCCUCCAAAAGUAGUGCCUUUUUGGUGGAUCCGACAAAGGUGUGACAAAAUUUUCAGAAUCAUACAUUUGUUUCUUAUUGGUUGUACAGUAAAUAUUUGCUCUUCAUUUAUAAAAUGAAACAUCCUCGAGUGGGGAAUGAGUUUUAAAUUUCUAAAGUUUUGUCGGGCCCCUAAAAGAAAAGAAGAAAAUGGGGAAUGUGAUAGGAUUUAGCUGUCUACUGCCAAUACAUAUAUACAUCUGGAGUGCCAGUGACAUGUGGUAACUGUAAUUUUUUUCAACUUGUAGUGAAAUUCAUAAAUAUAAAGGUCAGAUUCUUUCUGGCUCUAUCAAAUCCAAAUUCACAUAUAUCAGAGAUCAGGGUGAUGUUGACAUUUACUAAUGGGUUUAUCUCCCAUGAUGGGCUGAAUGGAAUCCUUGAUAUUAGGGUAAGGGAAGGGAUCAGGGGAUAAAGAGUGAUUAAUGAGUCUGGAUAGUGUCCUCUUCCUUAAUUUUUGUCCAAGUCUGGGGCCUGUAAUCUUUUCUACUCUUUUGUUAAAUAAAUAAUUGUUAAAUUCUCUUGAGAUAUUUGCCUCUAUACACUAUAUGCAUAUGAGUCGGUGUGCAUGUCUUUUUGAUUGGAGAAAUAGUGGACUAUCAGGUUUGAAUUUGCUUUUAGGACUUUUUUGGGAGGUAAAAUACACAUUUCUCUAUAGAAAAUCACUGAGAUAAAAAUAGUAUUGAUCGUUAACUAGUUUUGUAGAAAUCCUUUCUUAUAUAAUCAAUGUCUUAUUAAAAUGUCUAUUUUUGAGAAAUCCUAUGCAAUUAUAGGCGCUGCCAAAGGAGAAGAAUGAAGCUGAUCAGGAUCGAUUGAAGAUGAGGCUUUCCCAACUCUAUCAUGACAAGCUUCUCAAAGUAAUGCAUUUAUGCAGAGUGGAUGCUGUGUUUUUCAAUGAACUCAAAAACAUCACUAUAACUCUCCUCUUUUUAGAUUUCAGAGCCAAUUGAAGGGUUGAAAGAAUGGCUGGAUGCUGUAUCAACUGCUCGUAUCCCUUGCGCUGUUGUGUCAAGUUUUGAUCGCAGAAAUAUGGUUGAAACCUUAGAGCGCAUGGGACUCAUGAAGUACUUCCAGGUAGUUAAUUACAUUCUCUUAGAGAUAAUAUCUACAAUCUGGUCGGCUAUUACCAUGUGCAUGUUGUUGACCAUCAUGCUGUUGAUGCAGGCAAUUGUGACAGAGGAGGACGGAAUGGAGUCUAUAGCACAUAGAUUUCUUUCUGCAGCUGUAAAGGUAAGGCUGAAGUGUAUUUUGAGUGUUGGACUGGUGCAUUUCUAACACGUUAAGAAUACUAAAGCCAUAUUAAACAUACUGUUAGGAUUCUUUGGGGAUGGGGGCUGCUUUUAGCACAUUUUAUUUCUUACUUGCAUAUGAGGGAGAAUAAUAUCUAGAAGUGUGGUGUGUGAACUAAAAAUUCUUAAUUUUCUCUUUUAAUAAGGUGUGUCAGUUACAGUUUUUUGUUUAUACUUACAUCUGCAUUGAAUUGCUAAAUCCUAGCAAUAAUGACCUGCUACACCACUUAAAUGAUAGAUUAACUAUACACUCUCUACUCUUUCCUCUAUGCUUUUUAAGCGUAGACCAAAACACUAACCUUCUUUUGAACUCUCUUGGUUUUGUUGGAUCUUACCUAGUUCAAAAAUAAAAUUCUGCAGCUGGACAGAAAGCCAUCAAAGUGUGUGGUGUUUGAGGACAACCCUAGGGGUAUAACUGCUGCUCACAACUGUACAAUGAUGGCUGUGGCACUUAUUGGUGCUCACCCAGCGUAUGUAUUACUGUUUUCUGUUUUUUCCCCUUAUUGUUGAAGCUCUUGAUUCUGUCUUUGUUGAACUGUCUUAUUGUAUUAUGUUUGGACACGAAAUUUUCUUUGCUGCCCAAAAGGAGUCCCAGACUCUUCCUCCCUCUAGGGUGGGUGAGUUUAGGACUAGGUGCUUACUUCAAUGUCUGUUUGAAGUGUUGAUAUAUUAAUACAAGUUCUGGAUUUUCUUGCUAUUUUAAUUUUCUUCAAAUGCAGAAAGUAUGUCACUGCUUCUGCUCGCAAAUUUUCAUUUAGGAGUUUGUAAGUUGCAGGUAUGAUUUAGUGCAAGCUGACCUUGCUGUAGGUAGCUUCAGUGAGCUUUCUGUGAUAAAUCUCAGGAGAUUAUUUGCACAUAAAGGCUCCAACUUUAUGGACCUAGAGAAACAAAUAGCGGAAAAAGCACCUCCUAUUCCUACUUGUAAAUGCCCUUUUAGUGUUAGAAUCUGUAGGUCUUGCAGUCCCUCUCCUUCAUUCAUUCUUUAGAUAAAUAGAGCUGGUAGAAGAU